UCAUAAAUUAAAGCGCCUGGACUAUUUUCAGAACGCAAUGAAAAUAGUUGACGAGGAGGAGGUUCAUCGAUGAUCGGCGGAUGCCUCCCGGUUGAUAACACCUCAACCGAGACGUUUUGAUCUUAAAACAAAGGGGUGACUCUUUGCACAAAAGAUGGAAACAAGGUGUUA
Molecule: non-coding RNA, 171 nt
Filed under: Pontibacillus yanchengensis
Lineage: Bacteria; Bacillati; Bacillota; Bacilli; Caryophanales; Bacillaceae
Also listed under: 1 other name
Description: GlcN6P sequence
Rfam family: glmS glucosamine-6-phosphate activated ribozyme aptamer
About the family: This entry contains a glucosamine-6-phosphate activated ribozyme that is found in the mRNA for GlmS. GlmS is an enzyme that uses fructose-6-phosphate and glutamine to generate glucosamine-6-phosphate. The ribozyme catalyses self cleavage of the glmS mRNA that is thought to regulate GlmS activity.
Source: RNAcentral